AAAUUGAAGAGUUUGAUCAUGGCUCAGAUUGAACGCUGGCGGCAGGCCUAACACAUGCAAGUCGAACGGUAGCACAGAGAGCUUGCUCUCGGGUGACGAGUGGCGGACGGGUGAGUAAUGUCUGGGAAACUGCCUGAUGGAGGGGGAUAACUACUGGAAACGGUAGCUAAUACCGCAUAACGUCGCAAGACCAAAGAGGGGGAC
This 204-nucleotide ribosomal RNA is filed under the name Enterobacter kobei. RNAcentral's name for it is "partial 16S ribosomal RNA". It matches the Rfam family "Bacterial small subunit ribosomal RNA", at positions 1 to 214 of the family's 1533-position model. RNAcentral also lists the same sequence under 1 other name. Lineage: Bacteria; Pseudomonadati; Pseudomonadota; Gammaproteobacteria; Enterobacterales; Enterobacteriaceae. The record is from RNAcentral.